UACGAAGGGUGCAAACGUUGCUCGGAAUUAUUGGGCGUAAAGCGCACGUAGGCGGAUUGUUAAGUCGGGGGUGAAAUCCUGGAGCUCAACUCCAGAACUGCCUUCGAAACUGGCGAUCUUGAGUCCGGGAGAGGUGAGUGGAACUGCGAGUGUAGAGGUGAAAUUCGUAGAUAUUCGGAGGAACACCAGUGGCGAAGGCGGCUCACUGGCUCGACACUGACGCUGAGGUGCGAAAGCGUGGGGAGCAAACAGG
This 253-nucleotide ribosomal RNA is filed under the name uncultured bacterium. RNAcentral describes it as "partial 16S ribosomal RNA". It matches the Rfam family "Bacterial small subunit ribosomal RNA", at positions 524 to 776 of the family's 1533-position model. The record is from RNAcentral.